GGGGAUUUAGCUCAGCGGUAGAGCGCUUGCCUAGCAAACGCAAGGCCCUGGGUUCAGUUCCCAGCUCCG
This 69-nucleotide transfer RNA is filed under the name Rattus norvegicus (Norway rat). It matches the Rfam family "tRNA". Rfam says of the family: Transfer RNA (tRNA) molecules are approximately 80 nucleotides in length. Their secondary structure includes four short double-helical elements and three loops (D, anti-codon, and T loops). The record is from Rfam by way of RNAcentral. Lineage: Eukaryota; Metazoa; Chordata; Mammalia; Rodentia; Muridae.